CCUACGGGAGGCAGCAGUGGGGAAUAUUGGACAAUGGGCGAAAGCCUGAUCCAGCAAUGCCGCGUGAGUGAUGAAGGCCUUCGGGUCGUAAAGCUCUUUUACCAGGGAUGAUAAUGACAGUACCUGGAGAAUAAGCUCCGGCUAACUCCGUGCCAGCAGCCGCGGUAAUACGGAGGGAGCUAGCGUUGUUCGGAAUUACUGGGCGUAAAGAGUACGUAGGCGGUUAUUCAAGUCAGAGGUGAAAGCCCGGGGCUCAACCCCGGGAACUGCCUUUGAAACUAGAUAACUAGAGUCUUGGAGAGGUUAGUGGAAUUCCGAGUGUAGAGGUGAAAUUCGUAGAUAUUCGGAAGAACACCAGUGGCGAAGGCGACUAACUGGACAAGUACUGACGCUGAGGUACGAAAGCGUGGGGAGCAAACAGGAUUAGAUACCCUGGUAGUCCACGCCGUAAACGNUGAUAACUAGUUGUUCGUCACUUGGUGACUGAGUGACGCGAGCUACGACAUUAAGUUAUCCGUCCGUCGGGUAGGUACGGUCGCGAGAUUAAACUACAAGAGUAGUAGACGCGAGAGACGCGACGACGACGACGACGGAGGAGG
This 599-nucleotide ribosomal RNA is filed under the name uncultured bacterium. Its description in RNAcentral is "bacterial SSU rRNA". The stretch from base 1 to 519 matches the Rfam family "Bacterial small subunit ribosomal RNA", at positions 338 to 873 of the family's 1533-position model. The record is from RNAcentral.